This 109-nucleotide transfer RNA is filed under the name Microbotryum lychnidis-dioicae p1A1 Lamole. RNAcentral's name for it is "tRNA-Thr for anticodon UGU". The record is from RNAcentral. Lineage: Eukaryota; Fungi; Basidiomycota; Microbotryomycetes; Microbotryales; Microbotryaceae.
GCCCUUGUAGAUCAGUGGUAUAGAUCGUUGUGCUUGUACGAUCCAAGCUUUUAAAGCUCGGCUUUCGCGCGCAACACAAAGGUCUGGUGUUCAAAUCACCACUGGGGCU